GGGUGCCUCUCACGGCCCUGGGAGACGGGGUGGGGGCAUCCCCACCAGGGACAACACAAGACCGCCACCUAACCACGACAGAAUCCCCGUCCCAUGGUGACGCCGGGGUAUGGCUGGAUUCAAGUCGCCAGGGUAUAGCUGGAAACAGGGUAAAAAGAAAUGAAUUGGAUGGAUGUCAGGAAGCUCACAGAAUGUUCAGGAAGCCUGCAGAAUGAGGCUGGGAAGCGCAGAGUUGAAGGAGGAAGAAAAGAAAAAAAGUUUCUGCAAAACGCGUGUCAACAAAGUGAACUGUGGAAAAUUACAAACUCUUUCCACCUUCCAAGGUAGAAUCCAAGAGAACACAACAGUGUGUUACGUUUUAGAAGCACUCAAGACACGAGAUCUGAAAAGGAGGAUAAAGCAGAAGUGAAACCCUCACUAAUUUCUUUCAGAGGGUGGUGAUGAGAUGGAGCGAUCUGACAGUGUGUAGGCGUGAUCGCCUCGGGAAGCCCGUUCCCAAGUAAUGGUUUGGUGAACCUAUAAUUUAUAGAGUCCACGUCCUGUAUCGCCUUACUUAUCUCCCGAACUCUCUGAGUAGUAAUCAUCUGAGACGUGGGACUAGCUUUUCAGUGCACACACAGGUCUUGAUCAGCUUUAGCUUAAGGAUUUGGGGGUGGGGAGGGAUGGAGAGAAACGAGAUUAGCUUCCAGUCUUCAAACCAAAGAAACAGGAAUAUAAAACCUCUGUG
Long non-coding RNA from Talpa occidentalis (Iberian mole), 727 nucleotides. RefSeq lists it as uncharacterized. Lineage: Eukaryota; Metazoa; Chordata; Mammalia; Eulipotyphla; Talpidae. The transcript is spliced from 3 exons. The record is from RefSeq and is a predicted model, not a curated record.